RNAcentral lists this ribosomal RNA (937 nucleotides) under Acinetobacter sp. C1a-5m. RNAcentral's name for it is "bacterial SSU rRNA". It matches the Rfam family "Bacterial small subunit ribosomal RNA", at positions 45 to 979 of the family's 1533-position model. Lineage: Bacteria; Pseudomonadati; Pseudomonadota; Gammaproteobacteria; Moraxellales; Moraxellaceae. The record is from RNAcentral.
AGCUUANCAUGCAGUCGAGCGGGCGAGGUUGCUUCGGUAACUGAGCUAGCGGCGGACGGGUGAGUAAAGCUUAGGAAUCUGCCUAUUAGUGGGGGACAACAUUCCGAAAGGAAUGCUAAUACCGCAUACGUCCUACGGGAGAAAGCAGGGGAUCUUCGGACCUUGCGCUAAUAGAUGAGCCUAAGUCAGAUUAGCUAGUUGGUGGGGUAAAGGCCUACCAAGGCGACGAUCUGUAGCGGGUCUGAGAGGAUGAUCCGCCACACUGGGACUGAGACACGGCCCAGACUCCUACGGGAGGCAGCAGUGGGGAAUAUUGGACAAUGGGCGRAAGCCUGAUCCAGCCAUGCCGCGUGUGUGAAGAAGGCCUUUUGGUUGUAAAGCACUUUAAGCGAGGAGGAGGCUACCUGGAUUAAUACUCUGGGAUAGUGGACGUUACUCGCAGAAUAAGCACCGGCUAACUCUGUGCCAGCAGCCGCGGUAAUACAGAGGGUGCGAGCGUUAAUCGGAUUUACUGGGCGUAAAGCGUGCGUAGGCGGCUUUUUAAGUCGGAUGUGAAAUCCCUGAGCUUAACUUAGGAAUUGCAUUCGAUACUGGGAAGCUAGAGUAUGGGAGAGGAUGGUAGAAUUCCAGGUGUAGCGGUGAAAUGCGUAGAGAUCUGGAGGAAUACCGAUGGCGAAGGCAGCCAUCUGGCCUAAUACUGACGCUGAGGUACGAAAGCAUGGGGAGCAAACAGGAUUAGAUACCCUGGUAGUCCAUGCCGUAAACGAUGUCUACUAGCCGUUGGGGCCUUUGAGGCUUUAGUGGCGCAGCUAACGCGAUAAGUAGACCGCCUGGGGAGUACGGUCGCAAGACUAAAACUCAAAUGAAUUGACGGGGGCCCGCACAAGCGGUGGAGCAUGUGGUUUAAUUCGAUGCAACGCGAAGAACCUUACCUGGU